GGAGACUGCCGGUGACAAACCGGAGGAAGGUGGGGAUGACGUCAAGUCCUCAUGGCCCCUAUGGGUAGGGCUUCACACGUCAUACAAUGGUCGGUACAGAGGGUUGCCAACCCGCGAGGGGGAGCUAAUCCCACAAAGCCGAUCGUAGUCCGGAUCGCAGUCUGCAACUCGACUGCGUGAAGUCGGAAUCGCUAGUAAUCGUGGAUCAGCAUGUCACGGUGAAUACGUUCCCGGGUCUU
Molecule: ribosomal RNA, 239 nt
Filed under: uncultured Rhodocyclaceae bacterium
Lineage: Bacteria; Pseudomonadati; Pseudomonadota; Betaproteobacteria; Rhodocyclales; Rhodocyclaceae
Description: partial 16S ribosomal RNA
Rfam family: Bacterial small subunit ribosomal RNA
Source: RNAcentral